Molecule: ribosomal RNA, 420 nt
Filed under: bacterium
Lineage: Bacteria
Description: partial 16S ribosomal RNA
Rfam family: Bacterial small subunit ribosomal RNA
Source: RNAcentral
UGGGGGAUAUUGCACAAUGGGCGAAAGCCUGAUGCAGCGACGCCGCGUGGGGGAUGAAGGCUUUCGGGUUGUAAACCUCUUUCGCUAUCGAACAAGGCCCGCUUAGGGUGGGUUGAGGGUAGGUGGAGAAGAAGCGCCGGCUAACUACGUGCCAGCAGCCGCGGUAAUACGUAGGGCGCGAGCGUUGUCCGGAAUUAUUGGGCGUAAAGGGCUUGUAGGCGGCUUGUUGCGCCUGCUGUGAAAACGCGGGGCUUAACUUCGCGCGUGGAGUGGGUACGGGCAGGCUUGAGUGUGGUAGGGGUGACUGGAAUUCCAGGUGUAGCGGUGGAAUGCGCAGAUAUCUGGAGGAACACCGAUGGCGAAGGCAGGUCAAUGGGCCAUUACUGACGCUGAGGAGCGAAAGCAUGGGUAGCGAACAGG